Molecule: ribosomal RNA, 468 nt
Filed under: uncultured bacterium
Lineage: Bacteria
Description: partial 16S ribosomal RNA
Rfam family: Bacterial small subunit ribosomal RNA
Source: RNAcentral
GACGAACGCUGGCGGCGUGCUUAACACAUGCAAGUCGAACGGAAAGGCCCUGCUUUUGUGGGGUGCUCGAGUGGCGAACGGGUGAGUAACACGUGAGUAACCUGCCCUUGACUUUGGGAUAACUUCAGGAAACUGGGGCUAAUACCGGAUAGGAGCUCCUGCUGCAUGGUGGGGGUUGGAAAGUUUCGGCGGUUGGGGAUGGACGCGCGGCUUAUCAGCUUGUUGGUGGGGUAGGGGCUUACCAAGGCUUUGACGGGUAGCCGGCCUGAGAGGGUGACCGGCCACAUUGGGACUGAGAUACGGCCCAGACUCCUACGGGAGGCAGCAGUGGGGAAUAUUGCACAAUGGGCGGAAGCCUGAUGCAGCAACGCCGCGUGCGGGAUGACGGCCUUCGGGUUGUAAACCGCUUUCGCCUGUGACGAAGCGUGAGUGACGGUAAUGGGUAAAGAAGCACCGGCUAACUACGUG